This 157-nucleotide ribosomal RNA is filed under the name Fagonia rangei. RNAcentral's name for it is "5.8 ribosomal RNA". It matches the Rfam family "5.8S ribosomal RNA". From Rfam's summary of the family: 5.8S ribosomal RNA (5.8S rRNA) is a component of the large subunit of the eukaryotic ribosome. It is transcribed by RNA polymerase I as part of the 45S precursor that also contains 18S and 28S rRNA. Lineage: Eukaryota; Viridiplantae; Streptophyta; Magnoliopsida; Zygophyllales; Zygophyllaceae. The record is from RNAcentral.
CAAAACGACUCUCGGCAACGGAUAUCUCGGCUCUCGCAUCGAUGAAGAACGUAGCGAAAUGCGAUACUUGGUGUGAAUUGCAGAAUCCAGCGAACCAUCGAGUCUUUGAACGCAAGUUGCGCCUGAAGCCUUCGGGCUAAGGGCACGUCUGCYUGGG